UCAAGCUACUAAGGGCAAUUGGUGGAUGAUUAGGCGCUUAGAGGCGAUGAAGGACGUGGUAAGCUGCGAUAAGCUUCGGGGAGCCGCAAACAGGCUUUGAUCCGGAGAUGUCCGAAUGGGGCAACCCCUUCCGAAUCAUCGGAAGAUCCUUUUCUGAAUACAUAGGAAAAGGAAGCGAGACGGGGUGAAGUGAAACAUCUCAGUAACCCCAGGAGUAGAAAGAAAUUCGAUUCCGUCAGUAGCGGCGAGCGAAAUCGGAAUAGCCCAAACCCGAAAGAUGCCAAGUCUUGGAGCGUUGUCUUUCGGGGGUCGUGGGGCAUUGACGGUCCCGAUCCAAGUCGGGACGGGAAGAAAUCUCACCGAAUUUUAGCCAAAGGGCCUGGAACGGCCCACCCAAGAGGGUGAUAGUCCCGUAGGUAAAAAAAUUCGGUGCUUCUCGGUUAGUGUCCCCAAGUAUCCCGCGAUAAGUGAAACCGCUGGAGAAUUUGGGAGAACCAUCUCCUAAGGCUAAAUACGGCUAAGCGACCGAUAGUGAACAAGUACCGUGAGGGAAAAUCGAAAAGAACCGGGGUAACCGGAGUGAAAUAGAACCUGAAACCAAUCUGCCUACUGGCGGUCGGAGCUCGGCGCAAGCUGAGUGACGGCGUGCCUUUUGCAUAAUGAUCCGGCGACUGAUUCGAUGCGGCAAGGUUAAGCACCGUGGGGUGUGGAGCCGUAGCGAAAGCGAGUCCGAAAUGGGCGUCUAAGUCUCAUCGAAUCGACCCGAAGCGGAGUGAGCUAGCCAUGGCCAGGAUGAAGCGUGGGUAACACCACGUGGAGGUCCGGACCGGUGUAGGUUGAAAACUGCUCGGAUGAGCUGUGGCUAGGGGUGAAAAGCCAAUCGAACUCCGUGAUAGCUGGUUCUCCUCGAAAUGUAUUUAGGUACAGCCUGGAGAAGUAACGGAUGGAGGUAGAGGACUCGUUGGGCUAAGGGGCUUACCAGCCUGCUGAACCCAGGGAAACUCCGAAUGCCAUCCGCGUAAUCUCUGGAGUGAGUCGGUGAGGGAUAAGCUUCAUCGUCGAGAGGGAAACAACCCAGACCGCCGGCUAAGGUCCCUAAAUGGAAACUAAGUGGUAAAGGAUGUGAGAACGCAUAGACAACUGGGAUGUUGGCUUAGAGGCAGCCACCAUUUAAAGAGUGCGUAACAGCUCACCAGUCAAGUGUUCUCGCGCCGAAAAUGAUCGGGGCUUAAGUUUCCUACCGAAGCCGCGGACUUCAAGUUCUCUUCGGAGCAACUUGGAGUGGUAGAGGAGCGUUCCCAAUGCACUGAAGCGGAAGCGACAAGCAACCGUGGAGCGUUGGAAAGUGAUUAUGCCGGAAUGAGUAGCGAUAAAACAGGUGUAAAACCUGUUCGCCGUAAGCCCAAGGUUUCCCGGGGAAGGUUAAUCCGCCCGGGGUUAGUCGGUCCUAAGUCAAGGCCGAAGAGGCGUAGAUGAUGGACAGCAGGCAAAUAUUCCUGCACCACCGACUUUGCGUUAUGAAUCUGGAAAGUUCCCAGGAGGCUGCGUGAUCGCGCGAUUGGAUGUGCGCGUCCAAACCUGUAGCUGUCCCGUAAGGGAUGGUAAGGGGUGUUAGGGAGUCCGACUGAAAGGAAGGACGAACUCACGAAUGCCACGCUGGCGAGAAAAGCUUUUCAGGUCAGUGGAGUCGGUGACCGUACCGUAAACGGACACACGUGGGCGAGGAGAAAAUCCUAAGGCGCUCGAGAGAAUCCUCUCUAAGGAACUCGGCAAAAUAGCCCCGUACCUUCGGAAGAAGGGGUGCCUGAGUAGGGUGACUGUCAAGGAAGCCCGAAAAGGUCGCAGUGAAAGGGGCCUAGCGACUGUUUAACAAAAACACAGCUCUCUGCAAAGUCGACAAGACGACGUAUAGGGAGUGACACGUGCCCGGUGCCGGAAGGUCAAGCGGAGGUGUCAGCCGCAAGGCGAAGCGCUGAAGUUAAGCCCCGGUGAACGGCGGCCGUAACUAUAACGGUCCUAAGGUAGCGAAAUUCCUUGUCGGGUAAGUUCCGACCUGCACGAAUCGUGUAACGACUAGGCCGCUGUCUCAGAGAGGAACUCGGUGAAAUUGUAGCAGCGGUGAAGAUGCCGCGACCCCGCGACUAGACGGAAAGACCCCGUGCACCUUUACUAUACCCUGGUAUUGGAUUCUGGUUUGACGUGUGUAGCAUAGCCGGGAGACGGUGAAGGUCCGCCGCUAGGUGGACCUGAGUCACAACAUGAAAUACCGGUCUCGUGGAACUAGGAUUCUAACCCCAUCCUGUGAAGCCAGGUGGGAGACAGUGCUAGGCGGGUAGUUUGACUGGGGCGGUCGCCUCCUAAAAUGUAACGGAGGCGUUCCAAGGUCAGCUUAGUGCGGUUGGCAAUCGCACGCGAAGGGCAAACCUAUAGAGCUGGCUUGACUGCGAGACCUACAAGUCGAGCAGGGACGAAAGUCGGAGUUAGUGAUCCGGCGGUUGAAAAUGGAAUCGCCGUCGCUCAUCGGACAAAAGGUACGCCGGGGAUAACAGGCUUAUCGGGUCCAAGAGUUCAUAUCGACGACCCGGUUUGGCACCUCGAUGUCGGCUCAUCGCAUCCUGGGGCUGAAGUAGGUCCCAAGGGUUCGGCUGUUCGCCGAUUAAAGCGGUACGUGAGCUGGGUUCAGAACGUCGUGAGAC
RNAcentral lists this ribosomal RNA (2696 nucleotides) under groundwater metagenome. Its description in RNAcentral is "bacterial LSU rRNA". It matches the Rfam family "Bacterial large subunit ribosomal RNA", at positions 3 to 2627 of the family's 2925-position model. The record is from RNAcentral.